AAAAAGAAAAAGGCUGCUGAUGUGUGUUCCACCUUCAGUAUGUGGUUUCACAACCAAAGCCACUGUCCCUGUGUAGGAACUGCUUCCUACAGUGGCAGCGGGAUCUGAAGGUGCAAGACCAGGGAGCAGAUUGCGAUGUGAAUGUGUUCUUGGCACCGAAAGUAGUGAGGAGGCUGAAGAAGACUGAGUGUGUCGUGGGCGUUCCAAGGUGCGAGUGGACUUGACAAAGACGGGAAGUGGCUGCAGAAAAGUCAGAUGAGGCCAGAGUGCAAACAGACAAGGGGAUAACAGGCAAGUCCAUUCCAUCACCAGAGAGUCCUGCUGUUAACCGAUCGCCAGUGGGUUGCCUACCCUUUCCCCCAGGGAUCUCUAGCUCCUUCUUGCACCGGCACUGUCAGGUCUUUUCUGUACUUUGUUGGAUUCAAGAGACUGGACAAUCUGCAAGAUAAGUAAACAUUUUUUUCUUGUUAAUACUGAUUACUUCUCACACUAAAAUGUUGAUGGGUCACUAUGGCAACCCAUCCUGGUUCUUUUCACUAGGUCUUACCGAAGAUGCCUUUCACACUAGCAGUAAGGCCAUGGAGGAAGGACAGAGUGAAUCAUGGAGAAAGAACAUCCCAUCUUACCACCCAAUACAAUUAUGCAGUUGUGGAAGUAGAACUGGAACUCUGGGAGAGUUCGUGUUUUGUUGGUGGCUGGCAGCGUCUUCUAAAAUAGAUCGUACUGUGCUAAGGACAAUUUCUAUGGAUAGACCAGAAGCCUACCAGUACAGGAUGUUUGGGUACAGGUGAGGCUAAUUUGAGUUGUGGAAGCUGAGAAGUCCAAGAUCAAGGUGCCAGCAGAUUUGGUGUCUGGUGAGAGCCCUCUUCCUGGUGUGCAGGUGGCCAUCUUCUGAUUAUGUCCUCACAUGACCUUUCCUUGGCACUUAGGAGGACUACGUAUUCUCCCACCCUUGCAGUUGGGAAGAGCCGUGGAACUCGUUUUGGCCAAUGGGCUCUGAGCACAAGAGACAUGUAAUUUCAUCAUGUAAUCCCUGACUCGGGACCUGCAGCUCUCUCUUCCCCUCCUGCGGUGUCUCAGGAGGCUGCAUAUUCCAGAUGGUGCCACUGUAAGAUGGCAGAGCCUCCAUAAACCAGGCUUCCUCAGUGACUCUCUGGUGACCUGUGUGGAGUCUGUAGCAUGGGUCCCUGAGCCACUGAGUCUCUAAAUGACUGUCUGUGGACCUGUUUGGGGCACAUAGCAUGAGCCAGAAAUGUUCAUGUGUGGCCACUGAGAUGUUGUGGUUGCUUGUGACUUCAUUGUAGCCAAUCCUAAGUGCAUACUACAGCUGCAAAAUGGGAACUGGGGUUGAUUUUUAUUAGCUUAUCUCUAGUAGAAAAGGUUUAUAAAUAUUUAAGGACGACUUUAAACUAUCCAGCAAUUCUUUUUUAGAGAACAAAGAAACUUGUACAAUGUAUAUCUGAAUUUUAUAAAGGUGAAUACUUUGUGUGUUCCUGAUUUUUCUUGAUGGUGUUGAAGGAGCAAACCUCGUGCUGAGGUAUCUGAUUAUAGUAUUGCAGAUAGCUUGAUCAUACAUGGAUACAGAGGGAAAAGCUCCAGAUCUUCCAUGGUUUUCAUUCACGAAAUCAUCUUUUAUUUCCACUUCAAAGUAGCUACAGCUAGUAUCACUUAAAAUAUUUUUUCAGCUUUCAUUGUGCCAUGGAAAUUAGCAUUUUUAUUACCACAAAUUAUUCUUGUUUGGUAAUUCCAAAGAUGUCCAAAAGCAAGAACAGCCUCCUGAGCUGUUAGACUUUGGAAGAGAAUAGUAAAUCAAUGAGUAGAUAGGACCAUAUAUCAUAUUAAACACAGGGAAUUCACCACAAAAUCAUUACACUAAAAAGCGACAAUUUUGAUUGAUUAAAAUGGUAUGGGUUGGAUAGUGUUAAAUCACUGUGAGUGAUAUGACAUUAUAAUUUUACAUAGCAUAUUUCUGCCAAGACAAUGAAGGUAAAAGGCAUUGUCAUCAGAUGAUAACAGACAAUAAGAAGAAUCCUGAUGUUAGAUUUAUUACCUGGUUUAGAUUUAGAAAGAAGUAAUUCUUGUCCUGUUCCACUUAUCAAAUGACUGUAAAUUCAGUGAUGAUGUAAAAUUCUAAGGCAGAGCCACUUAUAGGUUUGACAAAGUGCCAGCUAUAAAGUAUUUAUUGUUCUCAGUGGUUCUGCCUUACAAACUUAAAUAUUUAUCAGAAACAUAAACCCCUCUGAUAAAUGUUUCUGAUCUUUGUGGGUAAAUUUUUUUUUAACAUUUAGAUUUUUCAUCAGAAACUACAUCUAUAUUUUUAUUAUGUUAAUAACUUUGAGCUCAUAAUUUGAAAAGGUAAUAUGUGAAUUUUAAAAUUUUAUUCCUUUUAACUUCUGCUUUUAAGUAUGACAUUUUUAAGAUAGUAUUCUUAGUAUCGAAAUGAGGACUUCCUUAUUUUACCAUUGCUAUAGAGGCAGCUCAGCCAAAAUUUCUGAAUUUCAUCCUUAUGUAUCUCCCAGGAGAGGUUUAGGUUGGUGAUGGCCUAGGUGCGGCCUGAGACAGUUCAUGGUGUCCCCAAGUAUCUUAGGUGAUUGUUUUAGUGCCAUUUAUCUCUGUAUCUUGUUUCUGAAGGACACAGGCACAGGUGAUUCCUUACCCUGGGCACAGGGAAGUCCUUGCUUGAGAGCACAGCUGACAGGACCAAAGAUUAGCACCUCAGUCAAAGGAAGGCAGUGCUUACUGGCCAGUGAUCUGUGAGGUGGCAGGUCACAACAUGAGAACCCCGGGAAACAGGAUGCUGUCUACAGGAGGUAGGAGCCGGGACCUGGUUAGAUUGUCUGAAGCACUCAAAUGUGAGACACAUGAAUGGUAAAGCAGCUCAGAAGCACAGAGAAUCAUAGAGAGAAGGCAAUUAGUAGUCUCCAUAAGGUUGCCAAAGCCACCACAUGCAAAAGCCAAGAGCUGAAGGAAGAAGAGCAGAGGCACUGAGUAGUUGCAAGAGAAGUGGACAUUAUAGGAGCUGAAAUAGAAGGUAGCGGAACCAUCAGGAAACUGAAACUUGACCUAAAGGAGGACUAAAAGUGGGCUAAGUUGCUGGAGUAAAGCUGUUGAGAUUAUUUUUCAUUAUUCCCGAGUUCUCUGGGUAUUCAUACAGCAGACCAACUAACUAUGUUAAACUGGGCUUCUCACUCUUCCUCUAACUUCAAAAAGUCUCAUACAUCUAAGAAAAUAUAAUGAAUUCAUAUGAUCACAGAAUUUCAGCUCUACAAGAGAACUUAGAGACAUUUUGCCAAAGUGUUUUCCUGUUUAUUUUUCUUAUGAAGAAUUUCAGUGCCAGAGAGAAUAAAAAUCCUUGCUUUGCUCCACCAGCUGAUCAUAUGCUGUGAUCAUAAGCUUCUCAAGACCACAAACAUAUCUUAAGUAGCUGUUUCUUCUUGCCUUGCUACAAAGUAGGAGCUCAAUAAAUGCAUUUUGAGUAGUGAGUCACCACAAAAUCUUAUGGCAUUUGACAGUUUAGAUUUGCCUGUAGAGCUGGUUAAUUCUAAAUAGUUAAAAGAAGGGAUAUGGUAAAAAAGUGAAAUGAUAAGACUCUUAUUUAUCCCUCCCCAAUCUAUUUUGUUAACACUUUCUCUUCUGCACACCACAUAUACACACACUCAAAUCAAGGAGUUAUUAGCCUUGUAGGCUGAUUACGAAAGUUUUAUAUUCAUCAAAAUUGGCCCUAGAAAAUUCAUUGCACAAGGCUGGCAUUUGAGGUUCAAAAUUGUAUGGGCAAUGGGGCACUGACAGCAUCCAACUAAUUUACUGUUAGGUCUCCACACUUGCUGAGAUUCAUGGAUUAAAAGUGAAAGAGGUUUUCUGGAACAUUUUCUGAUUCAAGGAUAAGGAAGGUUAGUCUGAAGCUAAGUUCUCUGACCCUCUAAUAAUUUACACGGAGCUUUCAGUAUCAGUGUCAUUUUCUUGAAUAUCAAAGGCUAAAGAUUGUUUUGAAUAAAUCAAGACUUAAAAGAAGUCUCUGGGAAAUAUUAAAUGACUGUUGAGCAGACUGCUUCAUGGAAGGAGAACCAUUAGUUGAAUUCAGGGACAUUUCUUCUAUUUUGCCGUCCCUAUAAGAGAACAACAGUAAAGGCUAUCAAGAUUACAGCUGCCACUCAUUUUUGCUUUAACUUUGAGUUUUAUUUUCCCUUGAGAUAAAUCCUUCAAAGCCAGAAUAAAUAUUUCUCCAAAAUAGCAUAUAGCAAAGAAAGAAUGCUAUUUCUAAUCUUCAUCUGGGUUUUAUUUGAGGAGAUUUAAAGAUAAUUCCUUAGUUUUGGGCUAAUUCUGCCUUGUGGUCUGUUUUGGAGGGCUGGACUCCUUUUGUUAGGAAAGUUUACAAGUCUAAAUUUCCUACAAAAGGACUUCUGAGAAUUGUGAUGACUUAUGAGACAUUAUGAAGGGACUGGGCUUAGGAAAGAGAGAAGCCCAGCAAUUUCCAUCCUGCUCUGCCUCGGAGGGGUGCAAGUAUUUCAGUCAAGGGCAUGUGCAAGGGCAAGUUCUGACCAUUCACAAAACUGCUUUACUCAUUGAACAAAUGGGGUUGUUUGGAUUCUGUGUGACAUAUUCUGGAAUAAAAUAAAUCCUAAAGAAGGCAAAACAAGAAAAGUUUGGAGUCCUCAUUUGUGUGAAAUGAAAGAAAGAAAAAUAAAGGUUUGCUGAAGGUUCUAUAAAUAGGUGAACUUUCUAUCAUGUGCUGAAUACAAGAAACAUUUCAAAUGUUGAGAUGUGUCUGCUAAAGGAGACCUUAAAAUUGUCCUUCGAAUGGCUCAGGAUUGCAAGCGUUUGUAAUGGAAGUCUUAAGCCAUCCAGAGGAGAUAAAUAAGAUCAUCUUAAUGUCCUCGUAAUUCUUUAUAAGCUAGACCUUUGGUUGAAGAAUUAAUUCUAAAUGACUCAGGGAACUUUGGCUAUCUUGACUUCACAGAUGUUCAGAAUUUGAAAAUAGUUGUUUCUAGUUGGUUAAAUUCUCAUUCUGUGUUAGCUAAGUCAAUUUUCAACCUCCUUGACCUAGAGUUGUUCUUGAGCCUUG
This is a long non-coding RNA of Equus asinus (donkey), 5062 nucleotides long. NCBI's taxonomy places the organism in Eukaryota, Metazoa, Chordata, Mammalia, Perissodactyla, Equidae. The record is from Ensembl.